GUUCCUGUUUAGAGCCAGUCCUGGUAGACUAACCACAGGGGACGGAUGAGGGAAAUUAAGCAGACUACCACUUGGGAAUAGCCGAAGCCAGGAGAUGGCUAAGUCAAUAAAGCACUUGAUGCAGAAGUCUGAGUACCCGAGUUCAGCCCCUAGAACUCACAUGAAAAUGUCAGAGUGCUGCUGACUGACUUUCCCUUCUCUGUCAUCUUGGCUGUGCCUCAUGGGACCCACAUAUCUGAUGGGUCGGUCACCAAAGAGAGCCCCCAGCUCAGGACUGCAGCCUGGAGCGCUGACCUAAAGGUCACUGUCUGGGUUGCUGAGCUCCUGGAUGAACUUGCUGCCUGCCUCUUCUGCAUCACUUUCCCUAAUUUCCGGAGCCAGGGAGGGAGAGAUGACAUCACCCAGGCUCCUCCAAACCUGGGCUCUCUUGGGUGUGGAACUGUCUCUGCACUGUCUCAGAUAUCUGUGCGGCUUAAACCCAAGCAGAC
Molecule: long non-coding RNA, 488 nt
Organism: Rattus norvegicus (Norway rat)
Lineage: Eukaryota; Metazoa; Chordata; Mammalia; Rodentia; Muridae
Source: Ensembl